CACUAAGCCAGUGGUGAACUCCACAUACGCAUCCUUUGCUGAGGAUACGGUUAACGGAGCGAAAGCGACGUUCAACCUCAAAAGAAGCAGAGGGGGCUUAGUGGUGGGGUGACUGCGUACCUUUUGUAUAAUGGGUCAGCGACUUAUAUUCUGUAGCAAGGUUAACCGAAUAGGGGAGCCGGAGGGAAACCGAGUCUUAACCGGGCGUUAAGUUGCAGGGUAUAGACCCGAAACCCGGUGAUCUAGCCAUGGGCAGGUUGAAGGUUGGGUAACACUAACUGGAGGACCGAACCGACUAAUGUUGAAAAAUUAGCGGAUGACCUGUGGCUGGGGGUGAAAGGCCAAUCAAACCGGGAGAUAGCUGGUUCUCCCCGAAAGCUAUUUAGGUAGCGCCUCGUGAAUUCAUCUCCGGGGGUAGAGCACUGUUUCGGCUAGGGGGCCAUCCCGGCUUACCAACCCGAUGCAAACUGCGAAUACCGGAGAAUGUUAUCACGGGAGACACACGGCGGGUGCUAACGUCCGUCGUGAAGAGGGAAACAACCCAGACCGCCAGCUAAGGUCCCAAAGUCAUGGUUAAGUGGGAAACGAUGUGGGAAGGCCCAGACAGCCAGGAUGUUGGCUUAGAAGCAGCCAUCAUUUAAAGAAAGCGUAAUAGCUCACUGGUCGAGUCGGCCUGCGCGGAAGAUGUAACGGGGCUAAACCAUGCACCGAAGCUGCGGCAGCGACGCUGAUGCGUUGUUGGGUAGGGGAGCGUUCUGUAAGCCUGCGAAGGUGGCCUGUGAGGGUUGCUGGAGGUAUCAGAAGUGCGAAUGCUGACAUAAGUAACGAUAAAGCGGGUGAAAAGCCCGCUCGCCGGAAGACCAAGGGUUCCUGUCCAACGUUAAUCGGGGCAGGGUGAGUCGACCCCUAAGGCGAGGCCGAAAGGCGUAGUCGAUGGGAAACGGGUUAAUAUUCCCGUACUUGGUGUUACUGCGAAGGGGGGACGGAGAAGGCUAUGUUGGCCGGGCGACGGUUGUCCCGGUUUAAGCGUGUAGGUGUGUGUUCCAGGUAAAUCCGGUUCACUUUAACACUGAGGCGUGAUGACGAGGCACUACGGUGCUGAAGCAACAAAUGCCCUGCUUCCAGGAAAAGCCUCUAAGCAUCAGGUAACAUCAAAUCGUACCCCAAACCGACACAGGUGGUCAGGUAGAGAAUACCAAGGCGCUUGAGAGAACUCGGGUGAAGGAACUAGGCAAAAUGGUGCCGUAACU
Molecule: ribosomal RNA, 1250 nt
Filed under: Salmonella enterica subsp. enterica serovar Schwarzengrund
Lineage: Bacteria; Pseudomonadati; Pseudomonadota; Gammaproteobacteria; Enterobacterales; Enterobacteriaceae
Description: partial 23S ribosomal RNA
Rfam family: Bacterial large subunit ribosomal RNA
Source: RNAcentral